Molecule: ribosomal RNA, 425 nt
Filed under: uncultured bacterium
Lineage: Bacteria
Description: bacterial SSU rRNA
Rfam family: Bacterial small subunit ribosomal RNA
Source: RNAcentral
UGAGGGAUUUUGCGCAAUGGAGGAAACUCUGACGCAGCGACGCCGCGUGCGGGACGAAGCCUUUCGGGGUGUAAACCGCUGUCAGUGGAGAAGAGAAUGGACGGUACCCACUGAGGAAGCCUCGGCUAACUACGUGCCAGCAGCCGCGGUAAGACGUAGGGGGCGAGCGUUGUCCGGAAUCACUGGGCGUAAAGAGCUCGUAGGCGGGGCUGCGCGUCGCGGAGUAAAUCCAUCUGCUUAACGGAUGGCUCAUCUGCGAUACGGCAGCUCUUGAGGACAGGAGAGGGAAGCGGAAUUCCGAGUGUAGCGGUGAAAUGCGUAGAGAUUCGGAGGAACACCGGUGGCGAAGGCGGCUUCCUGGCCUGAUUCUGACGCUGAGGAGCGAAAGCCAGGGGAGCGAACGGGAUUAGAUACCCCGGUAGUCC